This 1208-nucleotide ribosomal RNA is filed under the name metagenome. RNAcentral's name for it is "bacterial SSU rRNA". It matches the Rfam family "Bacterial small subunit ribosomal RNA", at positions 296 to 1498 of the family's 1533-position model. The record is from RNAcentral.
GAGGAUGACCAGCCACACUGGAACUGAGACACGGUCCAGACUCCUACGGGAGGCAGCAGUGGGGAAUAUUGCGCAAUGGGCGCAAGCCUGAUGCAGCCAUGCCGCGUGUAUGAAGAAGGCCUUCGGGUUGUAAAGUACUUUCAGCGGGGAGGAAGGGAGUAAAGUUAAUACCUUUGCUCAUUGACGUUACCCGCAGAAGAAGCACCGGCUAACUCCGUGCCAGCAGCCGCGGUAAUACGGAGGGUGCAAGCGUUAAUCGGAAUUACUGGGCGUAAAGCGCACGCAGGCGGUUUGUUAAGUCAGAUGUGAAAUCCCCGGGCUCAACCUGGGAACCGCAUCUGAUACUGGCAAGCUUGAGUCUCGUAGAGGGGGGUAGAAUUCCAGGUGUAGCGGUGAAAUGCGUAGAGAUCUGGAGGAAUACCGGUGGCGAAGGCGGCCCCCUGGACGAAGACUGACGCUCAGGUGCGAAAGCGUGGGGGGCAAACAGGAUUAGAUACCCUGGUAGUCCACGCCGUAAACGAUGUCGACUUGGAGGUUGUGCCCUUGAGGCGUGGCUUCCGGAGCUAACGCGUUAAGUCGACCGCCUGGGGAGUACGGCCGCAAGGUUAAAACUCAAAUGAAUUGACGGGGGCCCGCACAAGCGGUGGAGCAUGUGGUUUAAUUCGAUGCAACGCGAAGAACCUUACCUGGUCUUGACAUCCACGGAAGUUUUCAGAGAUGAGAAUGUGCCUUCGGGAACCGUGAGACAGGUGCUGCAUGGCUGUCGUCAGCUCGUGUUGUGAAAUGUUGGGUUAAGUCCCGCAACGAGCGCAACCCUUAUCCUUUGUUGCCAGCGGUCCGGCCGGGAACUCAAAGGAGACUGCCAGUGAUAAACUGGAGGAAGGUGGGGAUGACGUCAAGUCAUCAUGGCCCUUACGACCAGGGCUACACACGUGCUACAAUGGCGCAUACAAAGAGAAGCGACCUCGCGAGAGCAAGCGGACCUCAUAAAGUGCGUCGUAGUCCGGAUUGGAGUCUGCAACUCGACUCCAUGAAGUCGGAAUCGCUAGUAAUCGUGGAUCAGAAUGCCACGGUGAAUACGUUCCCGGGCCUUGUACACACCGCCCUCACACCAUGGGAGUGGGUUGCAAAAGAAGUAGGUAGCUUAACCUUCGGGAGGGCGCUUACCACUUUGUGAUUCAUGACUGGGGUGAAGUCGUAACAAGGUA